AGCGAACGCUGGCGGCAGGCCUAAUACAUGCAAGUCGAGCGGGUCCUUCGGGAUUAGCGGCGGACGGGUGAGUAACGCGUGGGAACGUGCCCUUUGGUACGGAACAACUGAGGGAAACUUCAGCUAAUACCGUAUGUGCCCUUCGGGGAAAGAUUUAUCGCCAUUGGAGCGGCCCGCGUUGGAUUAGGUAGUUGGUGAGGUAAAGGCUCACCAAGCCUACGAUCCAUAGCUGGUCUGAGAGGAUGACCAGCCACACUGGGACUGAGACACGGCCCAGACUCCUACGGGAGGCAGCAGUAGGGAAUCUUGCGCAAUGGGCGAAAGCCUGACGCAGCCAUGCCGCGUGAAUGAUGAAGGUCUUAGGAUUGUAAAAUUACUUUCACCGGGGACGAUAAUGACGGUACCCGGAGAAGAAGACCCCGGCUAACUUCGUGCCAGCAGCCGCGGUAAU
RNAcentral lists this ribosomal RNA (451 nucleotides) under uncultured bacterium. Its description in RNAcentral is "bacterial SSU rRNA". It matches the Rfam family "Bacterial small subunit ribosomal RNA", at positions 29 to 524 of the family's 1533-position model. The record is from RNAcentral.